This 315-nucleotide long non-coding RNA is filed under the name Fukomys damarensis (Damara mole-rat). RNAcentral's name for it is "lncRNA (ENSFDAG00000023474.1)". Lineage: Eukaryota; Metazoa; Chordata; Mammalia; Rodentia; Bathyergidae. The record is from RNAcentral.
UACAUUUUCUCUACAGAUACUCCAAUUCUUAUUUGCAAGUACUGAGGUGAAUUAAAAAUAAGAAGAUUGUAUUGGCCUCAUUCCUUUGUGCCGUACCACCAACUUGGAACUCACUGUGCUUUAAGAAAAGGAAGCAUGGGAGACGAAGGAUGGACAGGCUGACAAGUUUAAUGGAAGCUUCCAAGUCAAUGAACCAAGCCACUUGAGAACAAAAGCUUGAGGAUGGAAUAAGUAGAAGGUGGAGAUGUGGCUGCUGAUUCUGGGGACUUGGACUUCUGUUUAUGAAAGUGAGUUGAAAUGCAACCCUCACUCCUC